ACAGCAGUCGCCACGGUAAUACGGAGGGAGCUAGCGUUGUUCGGAAUUACUGGGCGUAAAGCGCGCGUAGGCGGUUACUCAAGUCAGAGGUGAAAGCCCGGGGCUCAACCCCGGAACUGCCUUUGAAACUAGGUGACUAGAAUCUUGGAGAGGUCAGUGGAAUUCCGAGUGUAGAGGUGAAAUUCGUAGAUAUUCGGAAGAACACCAGUGGCGAAGGCGACUGACUGGACAAGUAUUGACGCUGAAGUGCGAAAGCGUGGGGAGCAAACAGGAUUAGAUACCCCUGUAGUCCCUGUCUCUUAUAC
Molecule: ribosomal RNA, 305 nt
Filed under: uncultured bacterium
Lineage: Bacteria
Description: partial 16S ribosomal RNA
Rfam family: Bacterial small subunit ribosomal RNA
Source: RNAcentral